This 1364-nucleotide long non-coding RNA is filed under the name Junco hyemalis (dark-eyed junco). RNAcentral's name for it is "lncRNA (ENSJHYG00000005897.1)". Lineage: Eukaryota; Metazoa; Chordata; Aves; Passeriformes; Passerellidae. The record is from RNAcentral.
AGGGUCAGGUUUAGGAUCAGGGUUAGGGUUAGGCUCCUCUGAUGUCCUCAGCCACCCCCCUCCUCCACAGAGAGUGUGACCCCUCAUUCCUCUGAAAUCACAGAAGCAGAAGCUCUCAAAUUACAAAUGUUCCUUUACAUUUGUAACCAAUUUUUUUUUUCCAUUUCAGCUGCAGAAACCACCCCGGUGCCCUCCAACACCACCUCCACCUCCAGCAGCACUCCCAACUCGGUGGGCAGGGCUCGGGGCAGCUCCUGCCUGCUGGCUGCCCUGCUGCUGCUGCUGCCCACAGCCAGCCUGCUCUCCUAGAGGGGCCCCAGCUCUGCUGCCCCUUCCCCUGCUCAGGAACACGGGGCUGAGCUGAUUUACUCAGGAAAACUCUUCCUUGCUCUGAGAAAUGUGAGAGAAAUGCACCUGCACGGGAAAUGAGAACAGUGAUCCUCCCCUGCUGCCCUCGCCCACGAGCUCAGCAAAAGGAAAUUUCCCCAGCAGAGACCCCUCUGCCCUGGCUGUGCUUUUGUGACCCAAAAAUGGGUGAGCAGAGCCCAAGGAACACGGGACAUUCAUGAAUCCAUGAUUUCCUCAUGGCCUGAAGGCAUCCUGUGAAGCACAAAACGCCUGAAGGGAGGAGAACUCUUCUUCUUUGUCGUCGUCUUCUUCUUCUUUGUCUUCUUCUCCUUCUUCGUUUUCUCCUUCUCCUUCUUCUUCUUCUCCUUCUUCUAUUUCUUCUUCAUCCUCGUCUUCUUCUUUUUCUUCUUCUUCUUCUUCUUCUUCUUCUUCUUCUUCUUCUUCUUCUUCUUCUUCUUCAUCUUCGUCUUCUUCUUCUUCAUCUUUGUCUUCCUCCUCUUCCUCCUCUUCCUCCUCCUCUUCCAAGAAGCUCCAGGAGGGCUCUGCCUUUGCCUCCUCUUCCUCCUCUUCCUCCUCUUUCCGUCCAUCCCCUCCUGGCACAGCCCUGGCUGUCGGGGAGCGGAGCUGAGCCUGGGGAGGGAAAUCCAGCCCGAAACCCCCAAACCCCCAGGCUGAGCCCAGCACCGGCUGCAGAGCCCCCACACCCAGCCCAGGAAUUUCUGCUCCAAAACCUGAAUUUCAUUCUUCCAGCAGAUGAUUCUCUUUGUUCUCCCUCUGGUUUUCCCCCUGGAAAGGCAAGGUGGGCAUUUUGUGUUCCUCUUUUAUUUUUUUAAUCAACAGCUGAUUUUACUGCAAGGCAAGAUUAUUGUGUGGGCCAAUGGAUGUCUUGAUUUUAUUGUUGUUUGUAUUUUUAUAUGGGAAAAGCGUGUAUUUAGAAAUUUUUCAAAUUGUGGAAAGCAAUUUUUUUUUCAUUAAACAAAUCUAAAUAAAAUAAGGAAUCAAAAUUGGUUCUUGCA